GAGUUUGAUUAUGGCUCAGGAUGAACGCUAGCGGUGCGCCUAACACAUGCAAGUCGAGCGAUGAAGUUUUCUACACAGAGUCUAUCUCAUUAAAUAAAUUCCAAGAGAUUAUACAAGAAAAUACACAUUCCUUGUAAUCUCCCUCUCCUUCUAGGAGAGGGUUGGGGUGAGGUCUAUUCUGUGUAGAAAAUAGAUUAGCGGCAAACGGGUGCGUAACACGUUGAUACUUCCCCCUAAGUCAGGGAUAGCCUGGAGAAAUCCAGAUUAAUACCGGAUAGUCCCGUAAGGGUAAAGCAGCAAUGCGCUCAGGGAAAGGUCUGCGGCCUAUCAGCUAGUUGGUGAGGUAAUGGCUCACCAAGGCAAUGACGGGUAGCUGGUCUGAGAGGACGGCCAGCCACAAUGGGACUGAGACACGGCCCAUACUCCUACGGGAGGCAGCAGUGAGGAAUCUUCCACAAUGGGCGAAAGCCCGAUGGAGCGACACCGCGUGAAGGAUGAAGCCUUUGUUGGUGUAACUUCUUUUCUCUCGGAAGAUAAUGACGGU
RNAcentral lists this ribosomal RNA (544 nucleotides) under Gracilibacteria bacterium canine oral taxon 394. RNAcentral's name for it is "bacterial SSU rRNA". It matches the Rfam family "Bacterial small subunit ribosomal RNA", at positions 9 to 458 of the family's 1533-position model. The record is from RNAcentral. Lineage: Bacteria; Candidatus Altimarinota.